Thalassophryne amazonica is the source of this 1078-nucleotide long non-coding RNA. RefSeq lists it as uncharacterized. The record is from RefSeq and is a predicted model, not a curated record. Lineage: Eukaryota; Metazoa; Chordata; Actinopteri; Batrachoidiformes; Batrachoididae. The transcript has 6 exons.
GCGUAUAGCCUGCCGGAAUCUAUUAGAAGAAGCAGAAGAAGAAGAAAUUGUUAUGGGGGUGAGGGCGGGGCGGAGGUGUCGCGGGAUUUUUGUAUCCCGGAAGUACACCGGAAGCUGCAAAGCCAACGAUGAGAGCAGAAGAAACAGGAAGCUCAUGUGCUCCUUGUGCGUCUCUGUUCUCCCCUCCAGCCUUCUCCGUGGUCAGGCCGUCAGCCUCUCUGCUUGGCCCCUCCUCUGAGCAUCUCUCCGGGUGCUCGGCCACACUUGUCUGGAUGUUUGGAUGAUAAAGAUUGAACGGAGAAACAACAUGACAUGUGCUGGUCUCACAUUUAAUGAAAAUAACUCAAGAUUUAUUCAGUUUUCUUUCUUCUGGUGCAUAGAGCCUUGGAAAGACUUUACACACUUGAUGGACAGCUUGUGAAAGAUCCACAAGACUUGAAGAACGAUGGAAAAUAUGUUGCUGUUACCAGGGGAAGGUUUAAACCUGCCGACUACUUCCAGCCAGUCCGAGUGCCCCUGAAGAAAAAGGGCAAGAAUAAAUGUGAAGAAACUCCACCUGCUGUUCAGGCGACACGUCACAAAAAACAAGUGGAUGACAAGAUCAAGGAGAAGAAGGAUGACAUUUGGAUACAUCCCCCAAGUUCCAAACUGUCCUCCCCCCAUCAGUCAGAUGUGGAGACGUCUUCACCUGCAUUGUCUAACAAAGAUGAUGGAGGAUGAAGACUUUCCCCAAGGCUGUGAUUCAUCACAUCCAGCACACAGAGCACAAAAUAAAAGCAAAAUAAAUUAAAUUUUGCACACCAAAUUAUUGUUUUUCAUUAUUUUGAAGAUGUCUGUUCUACAAUCAUUCUGCCCCAGAAAAAGAACAAUUCAAAUAAAUUCCUGACGGCCCAAUAUUAUCAUGACAUUCAUGCAUGUUCCUCAAAUUCGGGUCCUUUACCAGAGGCCUGGGAGUUUGAGGGUUUGGCGCAGUAUCUUAGCUGUUUCUACAACUGCACUCUUCUGGACAGACACCUCUGAUGUUGUACCUGAAAUCUGUUGGAGCCACUCUUCCAUUUUGGGGGUUACAGCUGCGAGU